ACAGGUGCUGCAUGGCUGUCGUCAGCUCGUGUCGUGAGAUGUUCGGUUAAGUCCGCUAACGAGCGCAACCCUCGCUGUGUGUUACAAGUGUCACACGGAACUGCCGGUCAUAAACCGGAGGAAGGUGGGAUGACGUCAAGUCAGCAUGGCCUUUAUAUCCUGGGCUACACACACGCUACAAUGGGCAGGGACAAUAGGUUGCGAAGCCGCGAGGCGGAGCCAAUCCAGCAAAACUUCCCUCAGUUCAGAUUGCAGGCUGCAACUCGCCUGCAUGAAGUUGGAGUUGCUAGUAAACGCAGGUCAGCCAUACUGCGUUGAAUACGUUCCCGGGGCUU
RNAcentral lists this ribosomal RNA (335 nucleotides) under uncultured Anaerolineaceae bacterium. Its description in RNAcentral is "bacterial SSU rRNA". It matches the Rfam family "Bacterial small subunit ribosomal RNA", at positions 1034 to 1382 of the family's 1533-position model. The record is from RNAcentral. Lineage: Bacteria; Bacillati; Chloroflexota; Anaerolineae; Anaerolineales; Anaerolineaceae.